Dreissena polymorpha is the source of this 2566-nucleotide long non-coding RNA. RefSeq lists it as uncharacterized. The transcript is spliced from 3 exons. NCBI's taxonomy places the organism in Eukaryota, Metazoa, Mollusca, Bivalvia, Myida, Dreissenidae. The record is from RefSeq and is a predicted model, not a curated record.
UUAACACUCAAGAGAAAAGGUAACUUUGAUUAUUUUCUUUUUAAUUUCUUGUUAUUAAAUUUAAUUAUUAUGUCUCUUUUAAAAACCGUGUAAGAUACUUGAUAUAAAAUCAAUAUUAUCAUGUCCAGGAAGAGUAACCGUUGUUAAAAGGAAAUACACAGGUUGCUUCCCUUGGCUCUUGUGCAGUGAAUCUGCCCAGGCUUAUGAAGUAAACAAAAUAAAGUAUGUCAACUAAAUUUAUAUCACAUAAUGUUAUAAAAUACCUUUCAUUUAAUAAAUAUAUUUGUCAUAUUACUUUUUAUGUAAAUAUGCGUUUGAAAUAUUUGACUUUAAAAUAUAUUCAGUCCUGUAUGAUCAUACAAAUAGGCGCGCGACAAAGCUGCAUUGACUCAAUUUCGAAAUUAUCAAGGUGAGCCAUUUGUCUGUAUUGGGUGGCCGAAACCGCGCUGAUGUGUGCCGGCGCAUUCUGAAGCAUUGCAUGUCAAAUGAGGUGGCCAACCAGUACAGCUGGCAUGGGAGGAAGAAAAAGGCAGAAUUUGGAAAACUUUCUAUUGGCUGAUGCUGUGCAGAAAGCUGUCAUGCGGUCCUUGAAAUGCACAGCUGCAGAAGUUGAACAUGAGUGCAGGGAAUGGUUUAGAACAGCCUCUGACCGUGACGGUGGAAGAAAAAAGAGGACAGCCAAAAUAAGUGAUGAACAGUCCCAAUGAAUUUUAACUCGUGUGUGUUUUAACUUUUAAUUUAGUCUCCUGCUGCAAUUUGUUAUGAUGUAAAGGUCUCUUUGAACUUGAAAUUAAUGAUUUUACACAACUUUUCUUUUAAUAUGUAUACUGAUGGAAGCAGUGUAUAUUUUUUUUGUUUUUUUUUUUGCCUUUAUUACCUAAAUAGCUGUAACUCUGUGUGUUACUUAGGUAAACGUAACUUUUCAAUAUAUUCUUGUUCUAAUUGUUUUCAUUUGUCAUUUUUGAAGAAAACAAGUUUCAUGUAGUUUGUAUUAAUAUUGAAGACAAUUUUCUUGUAAUAUUUUUUAUUCAAAACUUUCUAGAAAUGCCCAUAAUUUAUGUCUAAGUUCAGGGGACAUACAAGGUGUUUAUUUCUGAAAAUACUCAAUUAUAAAAAUCAAUUCCCUCAAUUCAUUUUGAAUUUGAUAAGUGACAGAACUCAAUUAUUUUUAUUUUCAAGUGAUCAUUUCCUGGUGAAAACAACAAAUAAUUUUAAUAUAUGUUAGUUUAAGGUAUUUAUAUGUAAAUAAGUCCCAGUAAACUACUCAAUUAUAUAUCAUUCAGCAAUAUAUUGCUCUGUCCUACUGCAAUGUAUUCAUUAACAAAUACUGGCUGCUUUAUACUGCAUAUCAUUAUUAGUUCUCUUUAAAGGAAUGGUCUGACUUAAUGGCUUUUUUUUCAGUAUUUUGGGGAUGUGAUCCCAUUCCAUGAAAUUGGGAAAUGUUGUGUCAAUAUAUAUAUUUACCUGCAGUUCAGAAAAAGUACAACUGAUUAACUACAAGUCUUAUUCCACAUUUCACAGCUAGUAUUUACCAUUUAAGACUAUUCAACAAUGAGGAAUUGCUUGACUUGAUUUAGGGGGAAAACAUGUGUUCUGCCAUUGACAACAUGGCCCAUUACCUUAAAGUGAGAUUUCUAGUCACUUGUACAUUUACAUUUUGUGCCAUUACUAUGUUUUGUUUUUUUUGCUGGAUAGCAAUUUCCUGAAUUUACUUGUUACAAUUUUUGUGUAUCGUAUGACUGCUAUGUUGUAUUUUGCUGACUAGUCUUGUUACUAUUUUUUGUGUAUCAUAUGACUACAUUGUUGUAUUUUGCUGACUAGUCUUACUUGUUACUAUUUAUUGUGUAUCGUAUGACUACUAUGUUGUAUUUUGCUGACUAGUCUUAUUUGUUACUAUGUUUUGUGUAUCGUAUGACUACUAUGUUGUACUUUGCUGACUAGUCUUACUUGUUACUAUUUUUUGUGUAAGGUAUGACUACUUUGUUGUAUUUUGCUGACUAGUCUUAUUUGUUCUUAUUUUGUGUGUAUCUUAUGACUACUAUGUUGUAUUUUGCUAACUAGUCUUAAUUGUUACUAUUUUAUGGGUAUCAUACGCUAUCCAUUUUAAAGAAAGGGUUAUUUUAUUAAUUGCCAGGGUAUAUAGACCAGUUUUGAUAAUAUGGGUGAUAUGAACCAUUUAUACAUGCAUGUUUGGUUAUUUUUCAUGUAUACAAUAUGCAUGUUGGAUACGUUGGUUUUCUUCAUAAUUCUCUUAUUUUAUUUUCAUUUGCUGAAUAUUCUAUUACCAAAAUACAAAACUCAAGUCAUUUGGUCAUUUAACAUUUUGUUUCAAUGUGUUACUUUUUCAGUUUCUGUACCUGUAGAAUUAUAGAGUCUGUUUAAAUAAUUUCUUUUACAUUUGUUGUUAGUCAAUGUAUAUAUUAAUUAAUUUUACCCCAUUAGAAUAAAAAUGUUGGAAUUAGUAAUAAAUCAGUUUAAUAUUUUCAGUUUCAAGACAGUAGUAUAAUUAGCAAAUACUGUAUUCCAGUUUGGUUGAAAAGAAUGUAAAAAUAAAAUGUUGUCUAAA